Oncorhynchus tshawytscha (Chinook salmon) is the source of this 597-nucleotide long non-coding RNA. Lineage: Eukaryota; Metazoa; Chordata; Actinopteri; Salmoniformes; Salmonidae. The record is from Ensembl.
GCUAUAUACAGGGGGUACCGGUACAGAGUCAAUGUGGAGACUAUAUACAGGGGGUACCGGUACAGAGUCAAUGUGGAUGCUAUAUACAGGGGGUACCGGUACAGAGUCAAUGUGGAGACUAUAUACAGGGGUACUGGUACAGAGUCAAUGUGGAGGCUAUAUACAGGGGUACUGGUACAGAGUCAAUGUGGAGGCUAUAUACAGGGGGUACCGGUACAGAGUCAAUGUGGAGGCUAUAUACAGGGUGUUACGGUACAGAGUCAAUGUGGAGGCUAUAUACAGGGGGUACCGGUACAGAGUCAAUGUGGAGGCUAUAUACAGGGGGUACUGGUACAGAGUCAAUGUGGAGGCUAUAUACAGGGGGUACCGGUACAGAGUCAAUGUGGAGGCUAUAUACAGGGGGUACCAGUACAGAGUCAAUGUGGAGGCUAUAUACAGGGGGUUACAGUACAGAGUCCAUGUGGAGGCUAUAUACAGGGGGUACCGGUACAGAGUCAAUAUGGAGGCUAUAUACAGGGGGUUACAGUACAGAGUCCAUGUGGAGGCUAUAUACAGGGGGUACUAGUACAGAGUCAAUUUGGAGGCUAUAUACAGGGG